Molecule: long non-coding RNA, 724 nt
Filed under: Citrus x clementina
Lineage: Eukaryota; Viridiplantae; Streptophyta; Magnoliopsida; Sapindales; Rutaceae
Description: Citrus clementina (C. clementina) long non-coding RNA (CCLE_LNC004287)
Source: RNAcentral
AACACCGUCACUGUGAGUGGAAUAUACAAAACCUAUUUUCAUAGUUAAUUUUGAUAGUAAAGCAUGUUUGCGAAAUAAGUAUUUUAAAUGUUCUGAUUUAAUGAUUUCUCGAAAUGGAUUUUAUUCACGCAUUGAUAUUAUAUUAAAAUGUUUGGUUAUUGAUUUUGCGUAUCGACUUUGAAUAAAGCAUGAUAGUAUUUUAAAGAUAAGAAAAGUGGAUUCAAAUGUGGUAUAAUUUAAAAUAUGAUUAAGAGGUAUGUGAAUAUAAUGAUUGUUUUUGAAAUCAUUAGACAGUACCCUUCCCUCCAGAUACAGUGAUACAUAUGAGAUGAGAUGAGAGGCCUUUGGGGCCCGUCUGAACACACAUAGAGGCUUUGGGCCGUGUGUUUGGGCGCUUUUGCCUUUUGGGGGCAUAUGCAUGCGGUAUGAUGAUUACAGAGAUACAGAUAUGAGAUACACACAGAUAUUGAGAUACAUAUGAUACAGAUGAGAUACAGGCCUUUGGGGCCCGUCUGAGUACACACAGAGGCUUUGGGCCGUGUGCUUGGGUUUUUGUCCUUUAGGGACUAGAUUAUGCAUGCACAGAUAUGAUGAGAUAUGAGAUGGUAUUUCCAUGUCUAUCUGUGUAGCUCCGGGGCGUGGCGGUACCCAAAUAGUACGUCAUUGCCUGUCCGUUGAGGUCCGGAUACGACGAGAUUAUUUCCCUGGGUACUUGUUUGGUGAU